AUUACAUAUAUUGACAUUUUAUAUAUAAGUUGUUGGUGUAUACAGAGAAAAAUAACAUUAUUGUACACUAAUGCCUACAAGUUAAAAAAAAAAUAAAACAAAUUAGAUGAAUUGACUCUUCUACGCGUGAUUUAAAUUUAUCUUUUUCAAUUUAUAUUUCACUCGCAAAUUCCAACUCCAAUACUACCUGUAUAUAGGUAAUAAUAAAUAUAGUCUAGGACUACAUGGCCAUAUUAUGACAUAUUAUAAAGCGUACAUGAUAAUAUGACAUGUAUUUACGUUCGUCCUUCAACUCGAAACACUAUAAUAAUAUGCAUGUGCCAAUAUAUAGAGGAGAAGGGCUAAUACGCGUGCUAUGGGGUAAUAUUUCAGUCAUUUGUGAUUCAUUGUGCAUUGUAAUUAUUUAAGUCGACAACGUUGCAAAUCUGCAACUAUAUUUUCUCGUAUAAUAACGCGUAUUCGCAGUUCACAACACGUUCAGUCAACUAAAGUGCUGCAGAGUACAUCUGAAGAAGAGUUGCAGUUUUUAGUUUCGUUAUUUAAUUUUAGGGUCGUCAUUAGCGAUGUUUCAAAGUAUGCCAAUGAAGACCUAAAUAUUUACUGAUCAAAAUUAUAUGGCCCCAGUUAAAUUACAACGCCCAUGCAGUGGCGGAUCCAGAAUUUAAUUUGGGAGAUGAGGCAUAGUAAUAGUUACCCAAGGCUAAUGAGAGGAGCCAAGGCCCUCGGGCCCCCUUAAAAUCUACAACUGCCGACGCUGAUUAUCAAAGUAUGUGUAAUUUAUUUGUAAAAGUGAAUAUUUUAGAAAAAAAUAUUUAUUAUUUUAAGAUUAAAUUUGUUAACCCCAUACAUGUAAAUUAUAAUUUGUAUUUUUUUUUUAUGGUUUAAUCGCAAUUGCUGUACGUGCGAAAUCAGUAAUAAUAUUAAAUGUUGACAUUAUUUUAUAGUCUAUAUUAGUUCUGUAAUUUGUACAAACACAUUGACUCGG
Long non-coding RNA from Aphis gossypii (cotton aphid), 985 nucleotides. RefSeq lists it as uncharacterized. The transcript is spliced from 3 exons. The record is from RefSeq and is a predicted model, not a curated record. Lineage: Eukaryota; Metazoa; Arthropoda; Insecta; Hemiptera; Aphididae.